Molecule: ribosomal RNA, 331 nt
Filed under: uncultured bacterium
Lineage: Bacteria
Description: bacterial SSU rRNA
Rfam family: Bacterial small subunit ribosomal RNA
Source: RNAcentral
CUCGUAGGCCGCUCUGUAAGUCGGAAGUGAAAGACCACGGCUCAACCGUGGAAACGCUUUCGAAACUGUGGAGCUUGAGGCCGGGAGAGGAGAUUGGAAUUCCUGGUGUAGCGGUGAAAUGCGUAGAUAUCAGGAGGAACACCCGUGGCGAAGGCGAAUCUCUGGACCGGUUCUGACGCUGAGGAGCGAAAGCUAGGGGAGCAAACAGGAUUAGAUACCCUGGUAGUCCUAGCUGUAAACGAUGGGCACUAGGUGUGGGGGGAUCGACCCCUUCCGUGCCGCAGUUAACGCAUUAAGUGCCCCGCCUGGGGAGUACGACCGCAAGGUUGAA